Molecule: long non-coding RNA, 236 nt
Filed under: Elaeis guineensis (African oil palm)
Lineage: Eukaryota; Viridiplantae; Streptophyta; Magnoliopsida; Arecales; Arecaceae
Description: long non-coding RNA (EGUI_LNC036867)
Source: RNAcentral
GAUUAGGUCACUAGUCGAUUCGAGCUGACCCAUGUCAUUAAGACAAUCAGUAUGACUAAUUCAGGUGUCCUUAGACCAGCUUGUGUCUACUCUUCUACAUGACUUGGUGAAGUCAAUGAGAGGAUUUACGACUUGUAGAUCCUCUAAAUUAUUAAAUUCUUAAAAUGAUAUAGUUAUGAAGAUAACUUAUUCACAACCUCCCAUUAAGGUGCUUGAUAAUGAAUCCAAUAUUCCAA